CAGCGGUGGUGAUUUCGGUGGUUUAGGCGGUGCUUUGGGUGGUGAAUGUAUCGACUCCGGCGGAGGAAGUGGUGGUGUUUUGGGGGAGGGUGUAGGAGGAGGCGAUGGAGGAGGAGGCGGUGGAGGAGAAGGAGGAAGAGGCGGCGGUGGAGGAGGGCAUUCUUCAGGUUUUGGUUGCGGUGGAGGAGGGCAUGGAGGAGGAGGUGGAGGAGGGCAUUCUUCAGGUUGUGGUUGCGGUGGAGGAGGCGGUGGAGGAGGGCAUUCUUCAGGUUGUGGAGGCGGUGGCCGUGGAGGAGGCGGUGGAGGAGGGCAUGCUUCAGGUUUUGGUUGCGGUGAAGGUAACGGUGGUGGAAAUCCACCGACACCCCUGCCGGAAAUGAUUUCUAAGGAUUUUCUGUGGAUAAUAUGGUUGUUCCCAGUAGAUAGAGUGCAAUGUAGUUGUAAAAGUGAAAGAAAAAGAAGAAGUAGAG
Molecule: long non-coding RNA, 470 nt
Filed under: Brassica napus (rape)
Lineage: Eukaryota; Viridiplantae; Streptophyta; Magnoliopsida; Brassicales; Brassicaceae
Description: long non-coding RNA (BNAP_LNC017520)
Source: RNAcentral